AUGCUCACUUCGGCAGCACAUAUACUAAAAUUGCAAAGAUACAGAGAAGAUUAGCAAGUCCCCUGCACAAGGAUGCCACGAAAAAUAACUGCUUCCUCUACCAUGGUU
Small nuclear RNA from Suncus etruscus (white-toothed pygmy shrew), 108 nucleotides. NCBI's taxonomy places the organism in Eukaryota, Metazoa, Chordata, Mammalia, Eulipotyphla, Soricidae. The record is from RefSeq and is a predicted model, not a curated record.